This 332-nucleotide unclassified non-coding RNA is filed under the name soil metagenome. RNAcentral's name for it is "partial contains 5.8S ribosomal RNA, internal transcribed spacer 2, and large subunit ribosomal RNA". The stretch from base 1 to 120 matches the Rfam family "5.8S ribosomal RNA", at positions 35 to 154 of the family's 154-position model. The record is from RNAcentral.
GAUGAAGAACGCAGCGAAAUGCGAUAAGUAAUGUGAAUUGCAGAAUUCAGUGAAUCAUCGAAUCUUUGAACGCACAUUGCGCCCGCCAGUAUUCUGGCGGGCAUGCCUGUUCGAGCGUCGUUUCAACCCUCAAGCACAGCUUGGUGUUGGGACUCGCGUUAAUUCGCGUUCCUCAAAUUGAUUGGCGGUCACGUCGAGCUUCCAUAGCGUAGUAGUAAAACCCUCGUUACUGGUAAUCGUCGCGGCCACGCCGUUAAACCCCAACUUCUGAAUGUUGACCUCGGAUCAGGUAGGAAUACCCGCUGAACUUAAGCAUAUCAAUAAGCGGAGGA